Molecule: ribosomal RNA, 1321 nt
Filed under: Bacillus sp. SC166(2010)
Lineage: Bacteria; Bacillati; Bacillota; Bacilli; Caryophanales; Bacillaceae
Description: bacterial SSU rRNA
Rfam family: Bacterial small subunit ribosomal RNA
Source: RNAcentral
UAUACAUGCAGUCGAGCGGACAGAAGGGAGCUUGCUCCCGGAUGUUAGCGGCGGACGGGUGAGUAACACGUGGGUAACCUGCCUGUAAGACUGGGAUAACUCCGGGAAACCGGAGCUAAUACCGGAUAGUUCCUUGAACCGCAUGGUUCAAGGAUGAAAGACGGUUUCGGCUGUCACUUACAGAUGGACCCGCGGCGCAUUAGCUAGUUGGUGAGGUAACGGCUCACCAAGGCGACGAUGCGUAGCCGACCUGAGAGGGUGAUCGGCCACACUGGGACUGAGACACGGCCCAGACUCCUACGGGAGGCAGCAGUAGGGAAUCUUCCGCAAUGGACGAAAGUCUGACGGAGCAACGCCGCGUGAGUGAUGAAGGUUUUCGGAUCGUAAAGCUCUGUUGUUAGGGAAGAACAAGUGCAAGAGUAACUGCUUGCACCUUGACGGUACCUAACCAGAAAGCCACGGCUAACUACGUGCCAGCAGCCGCGGUAAUACGUAGGUGGCAAGCGUUGUCCGGAAUUAUUGGGCGUAAAGGGCUCGCAGGCGGUUUCUUAAGUCUGAUGUGAAAGCCCCCGGCUCAACCGGGGAGGGUCAUUGGAAACUGGGAAACUUGAGUGCAGAAGAGGAGAGUGGAAUUCCACGUGUAGCGGUGAAAUGCGUAGAGAUGUGGAGGAACACCAGUGGCGAAGGCGACUCUCUGGUCUGUAACUGACGCUGAGGAGCGAAAGCGUGGGGAGCGAACAGGAUUAGAUACCCUGGUAGUCCACGCCGUAAACGAUGAGUGCUAAGUGUUAGGGGGUUUCCGCCCCUUAGUGCUGCAGCUAACGCAUUAAGCACUCCGCCUGGGGAGUACGGUCGCAAGACUGAAACUCAAAGGAAUUGACGGGGGCCCGCACAAGCGGUGGAGCAUGUGGUUUAAUUCGAAGCAACGCGAAGAACCUUACCAGGUCUUGACAUCCUCUGACAACCCUAGAGAUAGGGCUUUCCCUUCGGGGACAGAGUGACAGGUGGUGCAUGGUUGUCGUCAGCUCGUGUCGUGAGAUGUUGGGUUAAGUCCCGCAACGAGCGCAACCCUUGAUCUUAGUUGCCAGCAUUCAGUUGGGCACUCUAAGGUGACUGCCGGUGACAAACCGGAGGAAGGUGGGGAUGACGUCAAAUCAUCAUGCCCCUUAUGACCUGGGCUACACACGUGCUACAAUGGACAGAACAAAGGGCUGCGAGACCGCAAGGUUUAGCCAAUCCCACAAAUCUGUUCUCAGUUCGGAUCGCAGUCUGCAACUCGACUGCGUGAAGCUGGAAUCGCUAGUAAUCGCGGAUCAGCAUG